UGGGGAAUUUUGGACAAUGGGCGAAAGCCUGAUCCAGCAAUGCCGCGUGUGUGAAGAAGGCCUUCGGGUUGUAAAGCACUUUUGUCCGGAAAGAAAUCCUUGGCUCUAAUACAGUCGGGGGAUGACGGUACCGGAAGAAUAAGCACCGGCUAACUACGUGCCAGCAGCCGCGGUAAUACGUAGGGUGCAAGCGUUAAUCGGAAUUACUGGGCGUAAAGCGUGCGCAGGCGGUUUGCUAAGACCGAUGUGAAAUCCCGGGCUCAACCUGGGAACUGCAUUGGUGACUGGCAGGCUAGAGUAUGGCAGAGGGGGUAGAAUUCCACGUGUGAGCAGUGAAGUGCGUAGAGAUGUGGAGGAAUACCGAUGGCGAAGGCAGCCCCUGGGCCAAGUACUGACGCUCAUGCACGAAAGCGUGGGGA
Molecule: ribosomal RNA, 419 nt
Filed under: uncultured bacterium
Lineage: Bacteria
Description: partial 16S ribosomal RNA
Rfam family: Bacterial small subunit ribosomal RNA
Source: RNAcentral